Molecule: ribosomal RNA, 497 nt
Filed under: uncultured bacterium
Lineage: Bacteria
Description: partial 16S ribosomal RNA
Rfam family: Bacterial small subunit ribosomal RNA
Source: RNAcentral
GAUGAACGCUGGCGGCGUGCCUAAUACAUGCAAGUCGAGCGAACAGACGAGGAGUUUGCUCCGCUGACGUGUGCCGCGCACGGGUGUGAAACAUGUGGACAACCCACCUAUAAGACUGGGACAACUUCGAGACAGCGGAGAUAACACCGGAGAAUCUCUUGAACCACAUGGUUAAAUAGUGAAAUACGGCUUUGCUGUUACUUAUAGAUGGAUCCGCGCCGGAUUAGCUAGUUGGUAAGGUAAGGGCCUACCAAGGCGACGAUGCGUAGCCGACCUGAGAGGGUGAUCGGCCACACUGGAACUGAGACACGGUCCAGACUCCUACGGGAGGCAGCAGUGGGGAAUCUUCGGCAAAGGGCGAAAGCCUGACGGAGCAACGCCGCGUGUGUGAUGAAGGUCUUCGGAUCGUAAAGCUCUGUUAUUAGGGAAGAACAAAUGUGUAAGUAACUAGGCGGGUCUUGACGGUACCGGAUCAAAAAGCCACGGCUAACUACGUG